Molecule: ribosomal RNA, 484 nt
Filed under: uncultured bacterium
Lineage: Bacteria
Description: partial 16S ribosomal RNA
Rfam family: Bacterial small subunit ribosomal RNA
Source: RNAcentral
AUUGAACGCUGGCGGCAUGCUUUACACAUGCAAGUCGAACGGCAGCGCGGGCUUCGGCCUGGCGGCGAGUGGCGAACGGGUGAGUAAUGCAUCGGAACGUGCCCAGUAGUGGGGGAUAGCCCUGCGAAAGCCGGAUUAAUACCGCAUACGACCUGAGGGUGAAAGCGGGGGACCGAAAGGCCUCGCGCUAUUGGAGCGGCCGAUGUCGGAUUAGCUAGUUGGUGGGGUAAAGGCUUACCAAGGCGACGAUCCGUAGCUGGUCUGAGAGGACGACCAGCCACACUGGGACUGAGACACGGCCCAGACUCCUACGGGAGGCAGCAGUGGGGAAUUUUGGACAAUGGGGGCAACCCUGAUCCAGCCAUGCGGCGUGCGGGAAGAAGGCCUUCGGGUUGUAAACCGCUUUUGUUCGGGAAGAAAUCCUCUGGGCUAAUACCCCGGGGGGAUGACGGUACCGGAAGAAUAAGCACCGGCUAACUACGUG